RNAcentral lists this ribosomal RNA (324 nucleotides) under uncultured Barnesiella sp. Its description in RNAcentral is "bacterial SSU rRNA". It matches the Rfam family "Bacterial small subunit ribosomal RNA", at positions 355 to 676 of the family's 1533-position model. The record is from RNAcentral. Lineage: Bacteria; Pseudomonadati; Bacteroidota; Bacteroidia; Bacteroidales; Barnesiellaceae.
UGAGGAAUAUUGGGUCAAUGGGCGAGAGCCUGAACCAGCCAAGUCGCGUGAGGGAAGACGGUCCUACGGAUUGUAAACCUCUUUUGUCGGGGAGUAAUAGGCGGGACGUGUCCUGCUGUGAGAGUACCCGAAGAAAAAGCAUCGGCUAACUCCGUGCCAGCAGCCGCGGUAAUACGGAGGAUGCGAGCGUUAUCCGGAUUUAUUGGGUUUAAAGGGUGCGCAGGCGGCGUGCCAAGUCAGCGGUCAAAGUUCCGGGCUCAACCCGGUGAUGCCGUUGAAACUGGUGUGCUUGAGUGCGUGCGAGGGAGGCGGAAUGCGUUGUGU